CAGCGAAAGAGCAAAGUCAGACACGCGACACGUUUCCAGCCGCGUGUGCGUGGCCGUGACCGUGUGUGUUUUCACUUCUACAUCGCCCCUCUCCGCCGUCCCUGCUCAUCUGCUCCCGUCCCUCUCAUUCGCAUUUAGCGUAGUCGCCAUGCAGCAGCCACGCCCUGGGCCCGCCCAGGCGGCCCCGCGCUCUUACGACAAGAAGGCGUACCAGACCAUCUACCCUCAGUACCUCGAUUCCUACCUGACACCCAGCGAGGGCCGGCGUCUCACCAAGUCGCAGGGCGUCGAGCACCCGACGAUGGAGGAGAUCCUUCAUGCACUUAGGGUUCUAGGCUACAAGGAUGUCAUUGUAGACCCGGCCCGCUCAUACCCGCGGAGUCAGAGCACCACCAAGUUUCCAAUGGUGCCGCGCGGAUGCAUCAAGGUUGCCAUCAAGACGCCGGUGGACGAGCACUACAUCAAGAAGAGCGACUUUGACACACAGACGCGCAGCGCUGUGGUGAACAACAUCGACACCAAGCAAGAGCUCCUCCGUCGUGUCGCCGCGCUCAUCAAGGAAAAGAUGCCAAAUCGGCCGCAGCUGGCAACCGUGGAGGACAUCAUCACCACGUAUAAUCCCACACCGCAGCCGAAAAGCAAGAAGUAGCUGGUGAACCGACUAGACGGGUGGUGGUGGGGCACACGGAACUGGAUAUGCCUGCGAUUGACACGCAGCAUGGACUCUCUUUCUCUCUUUCUCUCUUUCUCGUUCGUUCUCUGUGUGUGUGAAUGUGUGCGCCGGCGCACACAUGCGCUUAGAUCUGAGUAGCGAAACUGUCGACGUCGCUGCUGGACGACGGUCAAGGUCGAAAGAAGCGGUGAAGCAGGAAAACAAAAGACGAAUGCGCCUCGAACGCGCGAGCUCCUGAGUAGCGGCUCGGCACCUCAGCGGGGCGUCACGCCUCCUCCUCUCUCUAACCUCGCUUCGCAGGAGGGAAGGCAGAAGAGGGCGACAAGGGCAAACGCCGAUGCGUCGAGACAUACCUGUGCAGCCUUUGCAACACGGCUCGAGAGGGCACAUGUGUGGGGGCAGCGCGUGCGGCUCACUUCUUGCCGUGUUGUCCUCGCCACUAAUGACACACCUGCGCUAGAAGACUGCGCCGGCGGUUGCAUUCUCCCAUCUUCUCUCUUCACGCCUCUUACCUGACUCCGUCGCUUUCUUCUGCUUGCCUCCUCUCCAUACCUCGUUGCUCGUGAAUCUCGCCUUCCUUUUUGUUUUGUCGUGUCUCUUGUUGUUUUCACGCGUUUGCAUGUAG
RNAcentral lists this unclassified non-coding RNA (1298 nucleotides) under Leishmania donovani. Its description in RNAcentral is "gene:LdHU3.19.1970(CDS-product:SRP19_protein_puta tive)". The record is from RNAcentral. Lineage: Eukaryota; Euglenozoa; Kinetoplastea; Trypanosomatida; Trypanosomatidae.